GACGAACGCUGGCGGCGUGCUUAACACAUGCGAGUCGAGCGGUAAGGCCUUUCGGGGUACACGAGCGGCGAACGGGUGAGUAACACGUGGGUGAUCUGUCCUGCACUUCGGGAUAAGCCUGGGAAACUGGGUCUAAUACCGGAUAUGACCUCCUAUCGCAUGGUGGGUGGUGGAAAGAUUUAUCGGUGCAGGAUGGGCCCGCGGCCUAUCAGCUUGUUGGUGGGGUAAUGGCCUACCAAGGCGACGACGGGUAGCCGACCUGAGAGGGUGACCGGCCACACUGGGACUGAGACACGGCCCAGACUCCUACGGGAGGCAGCAGUGGGGAAUAUUGCACAAUGGGCGAAAGCCUGAUGCAGCGACGCCGCGUGAGGGAUGACGGCCUUCGGGUUGUAAACCUCUUUCAGCAGGGACGAAGCGCAAGUGACGGUACCUGCAGAAGAAGCACCGGCUAACUACGUG
This 462-nucleotide ribosomal RNA is filed under the name uncultured bacterium. RNAcentral's name for it is "partial 16S ribosomal RNA". It matches the Rfam family "Bacterial small subunit ribosomal RNA", at positions 28 to 507 of the family's 1533-position model. The record is from RNAcentral.